RNAcentral lists this long non-coding RNA (973 nucleotides) under Homo sapiens (human). Its description in RNAcentral is "long non-coding RNA NONHSAT193900.1". The record is from RNAcentral. Lineage: Eukaryota; Metazoa; Chordata; Mammalia; Primates; Hominidae.
CGCAAGUGCAUACAGAAAUAUGCCCACACAUCAGCAAAGCAUUUCUUCAAAUGUCCACAGUGUAACAAUCGAAAAGAGUUUCCUCAAGAAAUGCUGAGAAUGGGAAUUCAUAUUCCAGACAGAGAUGCUGCCUGGGAACUCGAGCCAGGGGCUUUCUCAGACUUAUAUCAGCGCUAUCAGCACUGUGAUGCCCCCAUCUGUCUGUAUGAACAAGGCAGAGACAGCUUUGAGGAUGAAGGGGGUUACGACUGAUGGCAGGCUUCUGGGAUCAGCACUCAUCCUCUCUGAGCCAUACAUUCAUCUUGGGAGGUGGUGCCUCAUUCUGUGUGCUACAUGCGGAUCCCACGGAACCCACAGGGACUGCUCCUCUCUUAGAUCUAACAGUAAGAAAUGGGAGUGUGAGGAGUGUUCACCUGCUGCAGCCACAGACUACAUACCUGAAAACUCAGGGGACAUCCCUUGCUGCAGCAGCACCUUCCACCCUGAGGAACAUUUCUGCAGAGACAACACCUUGGAAGAGAAUCCGGGCCUUUCUUGGACUGAUUGGCCAGAACCUUCCUUAUUAGAAAAGCCAGAGUCCUCUCGUGGCAGGAGGAGCUACUCCUGGAGGUCCAAGGGUGUCAGAAUCACUAACAGCUGCAAAAAAUCCAAGUAACACCUUCUGAGUAGCUGCUGUCCCACACAAUAGGGUAUGAAGCUGCGCUCCUCCAUCGGGUUUGGGGAGGGAGCACUCUGGGACUGUGAGACAAGGAAGCAGGGCCAGCAGUGAGACUAUGAGCCAAGCAAAGAGAAGUCUCAGUGGAGCAUGAGGAGGGAGCAGUCCAGAUGCCAACAAGGAAAUGCGUUUAUGGCUACAAGAGUGCCUCUGCUUUCUCCUCCUCUCCUCCCACCAAGGAUUCUUCCACCUUAAUCUUGUUUUCAUAUGCCUCUUCUUACUUCACCCAUGUUUGUUGUUAUGCAAAUAAAGGUUUUC